GAUAAACGCUGGCGGCGUGCCUAACACAUGCAAGUCGAACGUCCUUUCCUCGCAAGAGGAGAGGGAGUGGCGGACGGGUGAGUAACACAUGGGAACCUACCUUUCAGUGAGGAAUACCGGCGAGAAAUCGCCGACAAAACCGCAUGGGCUUGCUUCUUUUGGGGAGCAAGCAAAGUUUUUCUUUCGGGAAGGACGCUGGAAGAUGGGCCUGUGGCCGAUUAGCUGGUUGGUGGGGUAAGAGCCUACCAAGGCGACGAUCGGUAGCUGGUCUGAGAGG
This 277-nucleotide ribosomal RNA is filed under the name uncultured bacterium. RNAcentral describes it as "partial 16S ribosomal RNA". It matches the Rfam family "Bacterial small subunit ribosomal RNA", at positions 28 to 299 of the family's 1533-position model. The record is from RNAcentral.